Molecule: long non-coding RNA, 3845 nt
Filed under: Nilaparvata lugens (brown planthopper)
Lineage: Eukaryota; Metazoa; Arthropoda; Insecta; Hemiptera; Delphacidae
Description: uncharacterized LOC120352738
Source: RNAcentral
ACAACGCUGCCGACAUACUCAUACUCGCCGACCUGCACAGCGCCGAUCAGCUCAAGGCGCAGGCUAUCGACUUUAUCAACACGCACGCGACCGAAGUGAUGGACACGCAGGGCUGGAAGUCGAUGAUCACGUCGCAUCCGCACCUAAUAGCAGAGGCGUUUCGCGCGCUAGCCACCCAACAGAUACCACCCAUCGGACCGCCCCGCAAGCGCGUCAAACAGAGCUGAAAGCAGUCCUAAAGCCGCAGCCGCAGUCCUAAAGCCGCAGCCGCAGUGCGCGUUUCCAAAACUGUCCGCAAGGGCGCGUGACCCGACCGUCACCGCCUCUCUCUCACUCUCUCUCUCUCUCCUCAAUCGUACCAAAAUCAAUCAAAAAGAGCGAGUGCGCGAGACAGUACACAAACUGAAUCUUCUCCUCAUCUACUACUAUAGUUAAUAUAUACAACCCCACAUCUGUGUUUAAUUAUGUUCCGUAACACCAUGAAGCGAUAAACAACAAAAACAAUCAAUCACUAGAUACCUAAAAUACUUGGAAAACAACAACUGAAAAUUGUCCUAUUUUUAUAAAAUGUACAUUACGGUUUAUUAAGAUAUUGUAUUUGCAUAUAUUUAUUGAUGGACCAAUAUAAAUGUGUAACUGAUAUUCGAAGGGUGUGUGCGUGCGUGCGUGCGUGUGUUAUGUGUGUAUGUGCUGGUCUACUAUUAAAGAAGCUGUUUCACUUUGAGAGUGUGUUGAGUUGAGUCGCGUUGCAUUUCGGGUUGCGCUUAUCAUUGAAACAAUUUAUGUUAGAAACGAAUUACGAAAAUUACUUAAAAGCGAGUAUUUAUUAUUUGUAUUAUCUUCUUCUCUUCCAAAAAAUCUCUUGAUAUUUUUUUGUGAUCUCAGUAGUUUUUUACACAAGAUGUUCAUCAAUGAUGUGUUAUUGCAGAAGAGAGAAUCGUUUUCAAUAUUUUCGUGCCCACUCUAUCUAAUUUGUUUUGUGUUUGUAUAAAACUUGGGAAUCCCAUGAUAUGAAAAUUAUAUUGCAUUAAUCAUUGAAAACAGUUAUAAUUUCUCCUCGAUUCGAGGUGUAGUAUGAAUAUUUUUUUGUUAUCAUUGGAACUUACAUCGUAGACAUCAGCGUUAUUUCAUUAAAAUUAUACAUGUGAAGUUCAUAUUUACGUUUCUUUGAGUGAAAAAUUAAUUUAAUCCCGUUUUUAUACAGAAUCACUACUUGAACAGAAUUUUGGAAAAUUUAUUAAAUACGGCUACUGGUCGCCAACUCCAUUAAUUCUUUCCAACUACUGAUUACAUCUUUGUGAUAUCAUAGAAUAAAUUAUUCCAUUUAGGAUGUUAUACUUCAAAAAUGUUUGCUUUUCAUCUGCCACACAAGUAAUCAUGUUAGAAGUUUGUUCAAUUUCUCUUCCAUUGGAUUCCAAAGUUCAAGUUGAUUUUAAUCCUACUGUAUAAGCAUAACCUAUAAGAUAAUGUAUCUCGUUCUAAUAAUUUUCCAAAUUCAAUCGCGAUGUUGCAUGCUUGAUAUUUCGAUCAUACUUAGAUCUCUGCAAUCAGAACAUUAUGUUUUCAGUUCCUUUUUGUGUUGGCUUCAUAGCUAGUUCGAUUUCUAAACGGGCUUUUUUAUUCUUCUUUGCCAUAUCACUGUGAUAAUUUUUCGAGUUCCAUUUAGUUAAUAAAUUUGCUUUUAUUAACUCCAUUUCAACUAACACAGGCGUUUGUGUCUUAUGAUCGAUUAUAUAAUAUAUAUUAUAUGCAUGCUGAUAUUAUGUGGAUCGGUCUUCCGUAUGUUUAUUAUAAAGGUAUGAAAUCUUUAGUUUGAUGGUAAUUUGUUCUGUCGAGAAACUUAUUUUUAUUGCGCUUUGAUAUUAAUCAUUGAUUUUUUCGCGUACGCUCUUAGAAAACAUUUAAGAUGAUCUCAAUCGAAAACAGUAGUAAUAAAACCUAACUAAUUAUAAUAAAAUCAAACCGACCCUUGAACAGAUUGAGGUGUAUUGGAGAAAUGAUAUUAUUGUUAAGAGUGACUGUCAAUGAUAUUAUAAUCUAGCUAUUCGGUGGAUUAAGAGUCAAACAAUAGUAAUGUUGUAUGUAAAAAUGAUAAUUGUUGAAAUUAUGAUUGGAAGGGAAGACGGUGUAUUGUAUUGUGAUAUAAUCUGUUUGGUCGAAUCGGAAGGUAUUAUUAUGAUAACUACUGUCUUUUAACUGUUACUCAAUUUUAACGAGCGAAUUGAACUGUAUAUUAGUCUGCAUGCUGUUAUCUAUUGAACUAUUAACAAUAAUUAAUGUAAGCUAAAUUAACCGAGACGGAGAAAGUCGAUCGAUGUGUUCAUAUAUAAAACAAUUUGGCUGUCGUAAAUUAUUGUCGUUCUUGGCGCUUAUCUCUUUCUAUCUAUUUAUCUAUCUGUCCCUUUUCUCCACACUUCCUAAUCAUCAGUCUUCAAAGGUGGUAGGAGGUUGAUUGCUCAUCAAUGUUCACGGCCACCUUGAUCUAACAAACUUACUUCUUUCCACAUCCUCCCCUUCCUUCAGCAUUCCCCCCCACUCUGGGAGCCUAAAUAAAUUAUAGUAGUUGCAAACUGAAAAUAAUUAUAAUAGUGUUGUGUUAAGUCAAGUACAAGAAAAUACAAUUGUUACCUCAAACCUAGAUUAAUAUUGCUUACUACUCGAUAUUGUUGGUUUAAUUUCUACUACAUUUUAAUAUUUGAUAAAUUGUUUAAGCUUAGUAUUGAUUGAUUUUCUAAAUGAGUUAUUAUUAUAGUUAUUUUUACGAUUGUGUUAUUGCAAAUGAUUUUAUAGUUGUAAAGGUAUCGUAUCUACUACAGUUUUCCCAUAUUAAUGUUUGGUUAAAUUUCAAGUGUAAUGUUUGAAAAUUCCAGUUUUCACUAAAAAAUUGAUAAAUUAUCAAAAAAUGGAAACCCUCUUUAAAUUUGUUAAUAUUUAAUUAAAGUAAAGAUCAUCGAUUAAAAAUAUUUAAUAUAUUUGCAUUUAAUUAUUUUUGUGGUUGUUAUUGCUUUAGAAAUUUUGCACUUUAUGUUGUAACUGGAAAUUGUUCUGCGAACUAGACGUUGAUAGUGCUCCUCUAGUGAUUCUUUGGGAACAAGUGUUAUCUUGUAUGCUUGUGGAACGACCUAACAACAACUAUAAAACUCUUGUGAGUGGAGAUUAUGAUGUUGAUGAAUGUGAUGACGUCACUGAGGGGCAUUUUAAGUAGAAGAGAACUGUUUCUAUAGCGCUGUAAUCAUACUCGUCACCAUCCCCCACCUAGCUGACUGGCAGUUUUGUUGCUGGAGAACAAAAUGUCAGAUGUCUUUCUAUGAAUAACUCUAUAUUAUAAUAAAUAUCGUGAAUAGUUCUCCCAAUAGAUCGUGAUCUAUCAUUGUAGAAUAAGUAUAAUUGACUUUGUUAUGAAUAAUAUUGUAUGUAAAUGGUCCCAGCAAUCUUGUCAUUAUGUUAAAUCGAUAAAGUCGUAAAAACAAUAAUCAUGAUUGUUUAAUUGUAAAUAACGUUUUAAUAAUGUCGGGAUUUAUAUACUAUUAUUAUGUAUUUUUAAGUCUUUUUUUAAUUAUUAGUUACAUUACAACUGUGAUGCUAUUGAAACGAUGUCUCGACUGUAGCCACUGUUUUUGUUCAAUAGAUAUUUUGCUUUAUGCCAUUUUAAUUCACGAGUUUGUAGCUAACUAGAAAAUAACAUUGUGACCAAUAGUAAACCGAUGGUUUUAGUUUGAUUUUUCCGUUGGUGAAAUAUUGUUCAUAGCUGGCAAGUUGUCGAAUAUAUCUUAUAAAUGAUGCAGUCGAGCUCUUAGCACUUAGUGUUUUAUUAUUCCAUUAAGAAAUUUAAUAAAAGUAAUAAU